AGAACCUUACCAGGUCUUGACAUCCCGAUGCUAUUUCUAGAGAUAGAAAGUUACUUCGGUACAUCGGUGACAGGUGGUGCAUGGUUGUCGUCAGCUCGUGUCGUGAGAUGUUGGGUUAAGUCCCGCAACGAGCGCAACCCCUAUUGUUAGUUGCUACGCAAGAGCACUCUAGCGAGACUGCCGUUGAACAAACGGAGGAAGGUGGGACGACGUCAAAUCAUCAUGCCCCUUAUGUCCUGGGCCACACACGUACUACAAUGGCGGUUAACAAAGAGAGGCAAUAC
This 284-nucleotide ribosomal RNA is filed under the name uncultured bacterium. Its description in RNAcentral is "partial 16S ribosomal RNA". It matches the Rfam family "Bacterial small subunit ribosomal RNA", at positions 965 to 1255 of the family's 1533-position model. The record is from RNAcentral.